CGUGAGAUGUUGGGUUAAGUCCCGCAACGAGCGCAACCUUACCCUUAGUUGUUUUCCCGAAAGGAUUACCCUCUAAGGGGGACUGCCCCGGACACGGGAGGAAGUGGGGAUGACGUCAAGUCCGCAUGCUCCUUACGUCUAGGGCUACACACGUCCUACAAUGGGGUCGACAGUGGGAUGCAAAGCCGCGAGGUGGAGCCAAUCCCCAAACGGCCUCUCAGUUCGGAUAGUAGUCUGCAACUCGACUACUUGAAGUCGGAAUCGCUAGUAAUGGCGGAUCAGCAUGCCGCCGUGAAUACGUUCCCGGGUCUU
RNAcentral lists this ribosomal RNA (312 nucleotides) under uncultured bacterium. RNAcentral describes it as "bacterial SSU rRNA". It matches the Rfam family "Bacterial small subunit ribosomal RNA", at positions 1066 to 1382 of the family's 1533-position model. The record is from RNAcentral.